CUUUGUAGUGAAGACUACUAUGAUGACCAGAUAUAGAAAAUGAUGUCAUUAUUGAGCUGAUUUCUUCAGAAAGUAUCUCUCUCUGAGCAAGACUGGACUGAGACAUUACCUUACUUCCAUUAUGGGAACCGUUGGAAGAGGAAUCUGAGUCAUAGGCAUCAGGGAAGGCUUUUCGUAGGAGUAGAUGUCUAUACCAAACCCUGAAGAAUGAAUAGAAAUAAGCUGUUAGAGAAGUUGGCGGAAAGUAGGGAGAUAAAGAGAAUAAGAAUAUUUACCAGGAAAACAAAAUAGAGAGCACCAAACCCCAGAGGAAAGAGACAGCAUGGAGUGUGGCUGGAGCAGAAAAGGAAGAUCAUUCUGGUGUGAAAAUUGGUUUGGUUGGGGAUCAAGCCUGGAGCACUGGAAACAAAUUAGGAUACUAAAUCAGUUCUCAGAAUCGAAGUUGAAUGUCCUAACAAUAGGAAGAGAUUGAUUGGAGACAGAUUAAGGAGAUGGAACCCGUAAAAGACAUUCCAGGUGCUGAGAAGAGUCUUGCCAACGGACUCACCUGGGCUCAUAGGAUGAAGAGACUGUGUUAAAAAGGGGACAGAAAAAUGAUGGGAUACCUUGCUUGCACCUUUCCAGGUACUUCCAGGUAAACAUUAAACAAUGGUAUGGAUAUCAGAAAAUGACACUACUGUAGAAACAAGCAGCCAAGCAUAAUAUUGGUGAAGACAGGCUUUAUUGUUGGACAAACUGGCUUUGGAAUAAUAUGACGGAUCACACUUGCUUGUCACGUAAUCUUGGGAUAAAAUUAUGU
RNAcentral lists this long non-coding RNA (799 nucleotides) under Homo sapiens (human). RNAcentral's name for it is "HSALNT0008591". The record is from RNAcentral. Lineage: Eukaryota; Metazoa; Chordata; Mammalia; Primates; Hominidae.